AGUGAACGCUGGCGGUAGGCCUAACACGUGCAAGUCGAACGGCAGCACAGUAAGAGCUUGCUCUUACGGGUGGCGAGUGGCGGACGGGUGAGGAAUACAUCGGAAUCUACUUUUUCGGGGGGGGUAACGUAGGGAAACUUACGCUAAUACCGCAUACGACCUACGGGUGAAAGCAGGGGAUCUUCGGACCUUUCGCGAUUGAAUGAGCCGAUGUCGGAUUAGCUAGUUGGCGGGGUAAAGGCCCACCAAGGCGACGAUCCGUAGCUGGUCUGAGAGGAUGAUCAGCCACACUGGAACUGAGACACGGUCCAGACUCCUACGGGAGGCAGCAGUGGGGAAUAUUGGACAAUGGGCGCAAGCCUGAUCCAGCCAUACCGCGUGGGUGAAGAAGGCCUUCGGGUUGUAAAGCCCUUUUGUUGGGAAAGAAAAGCAGCAGGUUAAUACCCCGCUGUUCUGACGGUACCCAAAGAAUAAGCACCGGCUAACUUCGUG
RNAcentral lists this ribosomal RNA (492 nucleotides) under uncultured bacterium. RNAcentral describes it as "partial 16S ribosomal RNA". It matches the Rfam family "Bacterial small subunit ribosomal RNA", at positions 29 to 507 of the family's 1533-position model. The record is from RNAcentral.